This 2314-nucleotide long non-coding RNA is filed under the name Rattus norvegicus (Norway rat). Its description in RNAcentral is "long non-coding RNA NONRATT020216". The record is from RNAcentral. Lineage: Eukaryota; Metazoa; Chordata; Mammalia; Rodentia; Muridae.
GGAGUUUAGAUAAAUUUGAGGAGGACCAUCAACAUUUAACAAGGGUAUUGAAGAAGAUUCCGGAGGAUGGAGGGCAAAUGUUUCUAAAAGAAACUUGUGUACACUGGAUGCAAAUUGCCCUUUCAUAAACUGGGAUAGCAAAGAAUUACCAAAUUCCAUUUGAUUAGCUAAAGCCUCUUCUCACAGAGCUGGCGAUAAGAAACAUCCCACUUUGGGGGACAGGAACUAGGAGGGUUCAUGUCACUUGCUUCAGUGCUAUGACCCUAGUGAUCCCUGGUUGGAAAGGUAAUUAGGAGAGGAUGGGGCUACUUCUCAUGUUUUCUUAAUUGCUUUGAGUCAGGGCUCUGCCUGUGUCUAGUUCUGAAGCAGAGCUUAUAGAGGUGAGGUCAAAACGGUUCUCAUUUCCAAAGGACAAGGGGGACUUGGGGGGGUAGUCUCAAGACAGCAUUACAGGAAGUCCAUUUCACCAUUCAGUCCUGAGAGCUAUACUGAAUGUACUGACUGAUUUUAAUAGUCUUUGCCUCGAAUAGUUAAAGUCCUGUGAAAUUUAGCCUUGAUCAAAAUACUGGGGACGGAGUGGGGAAUAACACCAAAGAAAACACAUAUCAAUACCUUGAAUAGUAACAUAGAAGAAGCUGGAGUAACCGGUUAGAGGAAAAGGAAAAAAAACCUGCACAGUAAACCGCCCGCUGGAGAGCAACACAAGCUCCUUACACCAAAACACGGUGUCUUCUGGAAGGUUGGUCACUUAAAACUCUCAUCUGUAAGCACCUGGAUCCUCAGAGUAGGGGGCAGAAGAACAAGGUCUAUGCUUCCCUGACCCUACACACGCCCCACCCCCUACCCCCACCCCCAGACCAUUAGGGAUCCAGCGAUAUGCAAGACAAUGUGCAAGCAGUAAGAGAAGAAGCCACAAAUUCUGUUAUGUGCAUGCCACUUGUGUAGGUGUCAGAGCCUUGUGUGUGAAUAUAUCCCCCACCUGACACACACAUGUAUACCUUAAGCACAUGGCACAAAUAUAUACUCUCCAUGGACUACAGUGGUGUUAGUUAGGACCCUGAGCUGUAAUCAUAGCAUCGUUACUACUUUUUGUGUUGUGUAUACAUUGAAUGGCUCAUAGAUUUUAAGAGUUUUUUUUUAAAUGUAAGCAUCCUACUAAAUGCACUUAUGCUUCUAAAUGUUUGUAUAUUUUAGUAAAAUUGAUUUAUUAGAUCCUUUGGUAUUGUAUUUUAGUACAGUAAAAUUUCCUCAGCUGUUUGAUUAAUGCUUUGAUGUCAAGAUUGCACAUUUUUAGUUAGGACACAGAAGAUAUUAUGCAGCUUCGGGCAUUUUCAACUGCAGGUCGCCUGCGGUUCUCUUGACUAAAUUGCACUGUGUGUUCUUGUGUAUCAGCUCUCACCUCUAAAACGAGGUAGAUCAUCAGAGUAGCCCUGAUGCUUCUGUCGCUGACUCCUGGCUCUCUGGUGGCAGUAUUUCUGUCGUGUGACCACCAUUUACUUCCUAAGCCAUCCGCUUGCAAUGGCAUUUUGGUUGCCACCAAAAAUAACACAAUGGGUUCUGAGUCUGUGUUGUUGGAAGCUGGGUACAUCAUUUCCUUCAGCUGUUUUAUGCACGCACACACGUUUUUUGUUAAAGCGUUAAGCAUUCAGCCAUGAACUAACAAUUGGCCAGAAACACCCUAAAUUGCCUUUACCAAAAAAAAGGGGGGGGGCAGGAAGUGAUACCCAGACUUUCAACUUUUCAAUCAGUGAGUAACAAACAGCACUCAACAUGCAUAUGUGGCCUCUCCUCAGUAUUAUUUAAUGUCAUAACUACUGCUUUUGUAAUUUGUAAUGAUGUUUGGAUGAAACCACUUGGACACCUGCUAUAGAUCACUGACAAGACCGAGCAGCUGAAAACAAGGAGAAUAAAGUUCCGUUCUACUGUAAGAUUUGAUUUAUGUUCAUCUUUCCUUAUAGACUAUUAAAGGGAAAGUGGUUUGAAAAGCAUUUGAGUCUGGUAAGUAUACAUAGGCCAGUACCUGAACCUUUUAAUUUGUACAUUUUGCCGUCUGGUCCUUUGCAUGGGAGACACGGUAGUGCCACAUCUGAUUUGUUCUCUGGCGCUUGAUUAGUGUGUGCUGUUCCCAAUGGCAUCCUUUACUUUUCAGUUUUCAGAGGCAUUCGAAGCAAACUAUACCGUCAGUGGCCCAUUGUUUUCUGACCAUCUAAAACUUACCUGUGAUUAAACUUAACUUGUUAGUGUAAAUAAACCUCUUGCCAAUGAUUAUUAUUAUUGUUAGAGAAUGAAUGCAAUAAAAGGAAAUUCAGAGGUC